This is a long non-coding RNA of Argiope bruennichi, 1266 nucleotides long. RefSeq lists it as uncharacterized. The record is from RefSeq and is a predicted model, not a curated record. The transcript is spliced from 3 exons. Lineage: Eukaryota; Metazoa; Arthropoda; Arachnida; Araneae; Araneidae.
AGCGGUCGGAUUGAUGUUGUAAGAUCAACUGAUGCGUUUUAGUUUAAAAUGGAACGUGAUAAAACUACUUUGAGGCAAUGCCAAAUUGGCGAACAAAAUCAUCGCUGAUUGUUCGAAGAAGGGGAAAGCUCAAAUUAUGCAAACGUGAAGACAUAUUUUGCGAAAUGUUUCUUUUAAAUGAGUUUAUUUUUCAAAGAUAGGUUUAUAAUUGUCAAAUUUUAGUGCGUUAAUUUCACUUUUGGAGCGAAAGAACUAUGAGGUGGAAACCAUUUAUCUCUGCUUUUCCUUUGACUGAAAUUAGGCUUACCUUUGCGAGAUGAUAGGCAAAAAUGUAGUUAGUCAAAUAUUUUACGUUUUGUUUAAACAACACGAGUUGAAAUAUACUUGCAAUUUAUUAUUAAUUCGAAUUUAAAACGAUAAAAUUAUUGAGUAAUAGGCAAUUUUCGCAACAGAAAAUACACUAUGCUAUAUUAUGCAGAAUAUGCGCUCAUUACAUAUUCGAUGAAAUUUAACAAAAAUCUGAAUACAGCAACACAUUAAGAAGAUUCAUGCAAUGUAAAACUGCAAUGAUCAUUUUUUAUUUAUUUUGCGAAAUAUGAUGUAACAUUGUGCCAAAAUUGUGCAUCAAGUCAGUCAAUAGAACUACUAUAGAACUCUUCAAAGAGUUAAAUACCUUUUUCUAAAUAAUGAUGUAGAAAAUGAAUAAGAGAAAUUGGUUCAAUUUUUAUUGAAGUCCUAAUUAUUGUCCGCAUUAGGUUCAAUAAGAUACUGGAAUGUAUAUAAAUUCAGAGAAUACCAAGUGCCGGAAGACACAUUGAUUGCCGAGAUGGGUCGCAAGAUAUAAUACUGGCAAUGUCUCCCACCGCCAGCACUUCUCCAAUAGUGGUGUUGUAAGUGGUCGUAUCGCGUAGUCAUUUUCUUAGGGACAUAGGUCAUAAGGGAAGAUGGUUGGAGUUGCCUUCUACGAAGAAAAGCGUCGUCAUCAGCUGUUGACAUAGGCUUGAAGGGUUGUUUGAAGUGAAAGGUCUAAGCCAACAAGCUCAGUAGCCACUAAGACGAUAUUCAUCAACGAUAUUCAGCUACAUUUAUGCAAAAUGGUCAUGGAACAUUUCUACAAAAGAGUGCGUAUACAUCAGCAAAGUUGUGGAGGCCAUUUGCCCUAUGGACUAUUCCAUAUAUAAUCCAACGAUUCAAUAAAAAUAUAACAAUUUAAAGGGAAAACUGUUUUUUAUAUUCAAUUGUGACUAUGUGCUAUUCCAUACAUAA